ACGGACUUAUCUAGAGGAGCUUCCUGUGAACCAUUGCAGCUGAGUAAAGAACUAAAGAAACUCUGUCAGCCAGGCAUUGGGGAAUAGUGAUUAGGAUUUAUUUUUGCUAAGAAACAGUGGCCAGUGGCUUGGGGUAGCUCCCAAGAAAUCACACUGCAGUCAGAAAGAGGAAGACCUGGUUAUCUUAGAUUUAUCAGUAGUCCAGACUCCAUUCCUAUAUAACUCAGAAGACUUUUGGGAACAAUAUCGUCCUUGCGGGCAGAGUUGGGGUGUUUGCUCCUAAGAUACUGUGCCUCUUCUAAAUCUGAAGGCCAGCAUCAACCAGUGAAGUGGAUUCACUUGGUGACAAGACACCUGCCACCCCUGCAGAAUAAAGCCGGUCCACAGCUGGCUAAUUCCAAAACUUCGGAGGAGUUGAACCCACCUUAUUCAGAAUGAGAGCAGCAGAAGAGUUAAGAGAUAAAGGGUGCUGACAAGACGUGAGCAAAGAUUUCUGGGGAAGAAAAUGGAUUGGAAAAUGGAAAAUGCAAGUUCCUUACCCAAGCGGCAUUAACUACCAGCUCCAUAUGACAAACAGCCUAUCAUUUUGAUUACUAUUUAAGGAACAUAGCUUCACAGUUGGUAGUGUUUUGCUCACGUCGGCUGUAAUGUUAAACCCCACUCUCUCUUUUUCACCCACUGAACAGGCUAAAAUUGAAGCCUUGUAAUUUGUAUUCUGGCUAAAGUAAAUGUAAAUCCUGA
Ornithorhynchus anatinus (platypus) is the source of this 741-nucleotide long non-coding RNA. RefSeq lists it as uncharacterized. Lineage: Eukaryota; Metazoa; Chordata; Mammalia; Monotremata; Ornithorhynchidae. The record is from RefSeq and is a predicted model, not a curated record. The transcript is spliced from 4 exons.